Molecule: ribosomal RNA, 497 nt
Filed under: uncultured bacterium
Lineage: Bacteria
Description: partial 16S ribosomal RNA
Rfam family: Bacterial small subunit ribosomal RNA
Source: RNAcentral
GAUGAACGCUGGCGGCGUGCCUAAUACAUGCAAGUCGAGCGAACAGAUAAGGAGCUUGCUCCUUUGACGUUAGCGGCGGACGGGUGAGUAACACGUGGGUAACCUACCUAUAAGACUGGGAUAACUUCGGGAAACCGGAGCUAAUACCGGAUAACAUUUGGAACCGCAUGGUUCUAAAGUGAAAGAUGGUUUUGCUAUCACUUAUAGAUGGACCCGCGCCGUAUUAGCUAGUUGGUAAGGUAACGGCUUACCAAGGCGACGAUACGUAGCCGACCUGAGAGGGUGAUCGGCCACACUGGAACUGAGACACGGUCCAGACUCCUACGGGAGGCAGCAGUAGGAAAUCUUCCGCAAUGGGCGAAAGCCUGACGGAGCAACGCCGCGUGAGUGAUGAAGGGUUUCGGCUCGUAAAACUCUGUUAUUAGGGAAGAACAAACGUGUAAGUAACUGUGCACGUCUUGACGGUACCUAAUCAGAAAGCCACGGCUAACUACGUG